AAAGAAAAAGUGUGAUUUUUCAAGGAAUCAAGUGUUUAAAGGUGGUGAGCUAUCUGAUACGGGUAAAAGACUACACCCGAGGAUCGAGAAUAAGAGUAUAUCUACUCCUAGUACAGCUCAGGACAAUUUGUUGAUAGUUGAUUAAGACGAGAAUUAAUCUCAGAGUUGCAUCCUAGAAAGUAAGGGUUCGUAGCCUUACAUCUUCUUAGUUAUUUGGGGACCCACGUGUCAUUGUAAUUU
Theobroma cacao (cacao) is the source of this 240-nucleotide non-coding RNA. Lineage: Eukaryota; Viridiplantae; Streptophyta; Magnoliopsida; Malvales; Malvaceae. The record is from RefSeq and is a predicted model, not a curated record.